RNAcentral lists this transfer RNA (72 nucleotides) under Bos taurus (domestic cattle). It matches the Rfam family "tRNA". Rfam says of the family: Transfer RNA (tRNA) molecules are approximately 80 nucleotides in length. Their secondary structure includes four short double-helical elements and three loops (D, anti-codon, and T loops). Lineage: Eukaryota; Metazoa; Chordata; Mammalia; Artiodactyla; Bovidae. The record is from Rfam by way of RNAcentral. RNAcentral also lists the same sequence under 1 other name.
UCCUGAUUAGCUCAGUUGGCAAAGAAUCCACCUGCAAUGCAGGAGACCCAGGUUUGAUUCCUGGGUCGGGAA